Molecule: ribosomal RNA, 466 nt
Filed under: uncultured bacterium
Lineage: Bacteria
Description: partial 16S ribosomal RNA
Rfam family: Bacterial small subunit ribosomal RNA
Source: RNAcentral
GACGAACGCUGGCGGCGCGCCUAACACAUGCAAGUCGAACGAGCGAGCGAGAGCUUGCUUUCUCGAGCGAGUGGCGAACGGGUGAGUAAAGCGUGAGGAAACUGCCUCAAAGAGGGGGACAACAGUUGGAAACGACUGCUAAUACCGCAUAAGACCACGACCCGGCAUCGGGUCGAGGGAAAAGGAGCAAUCUGCUUUGAGUUGGCCUCGCGUCCGAUUAGCUAGUUGGUGAGGUAACGGCCCACCAAGGCGACGAUAGGUAGCCGGACUGUGAGGUUGAACGGCCACAUUGGGACUGAGACACGGCCCAGACUCCUACGGGAGGCAGCAGUGGGUAAUAUUGCACAAUGGGGGAAACCCUGAUGCAGCGACGCCGCGUGGAGGAAGAAGGUCUUCGGAUUGUAAACUCCUGUUGUUGAGGAAGAUAAUGACGGUACUCAACAAGAAAGUGACGGCUAACUACGUG